This is a long non-coding RNA of Myotis brandtii (Brandt's bat), 114 nucleotides long. RefSeq lists it as uncharacterized. The transcript is spliced from 3 exons. The record is from RefSeq and is a predicted model, not a curated record. NCBI's taxonomy places the organism in Eukaryota, Metazoa, Chordata, Mammalia, Chiroptera, Vespertilionidae.
AAUAAUCUGAUGAACAGAAUAAACUGGUGAAUAUAAUAGAAUCAGGGGCAUAGAAAGGGAGUGAACUGACUAUUCUUCCGGGGGAAAGGGGUGUAGGGGAUGUAGUAAGAGACU